Molecule: non-coding RNA, 681 nt
Organism: Xyrichtys novacula (pearly razorfish)
Lineage: Eukaryota; Metazoa; Chordata; Actinopteri; Labriformes; Labridae
Source: the annotation of a GenBank genome assembly
CUGUUAGUUAAUUCAUUACCAAUUGGUCAUUGUAGUUUUUUUUUUCUUUUUUCUUUUUUUCCUUUUGAAGUCACGCUUUGACAAAAUCAAUGCGGUUUAUGAGAUACUCCAAAAGAGCUCAAAUGACCUUGUAUCCUUGGUUACAACAGCUUCCACCCAAUCAUAUCACCACUAGUGGUAGUAAACUACCUAAGUAGUCACAGCUGCCCUGGGGCAGAGAGACGGAAACGUGGCUGCCAUUUUGUGCCUACGGCCCCCCUCCAACCACCACCACACUACACUCACAAUCACACACCAGCUGAGGACACACACUGGGAGCAAGGUGGGUUAAGUGUCUUGCCCAAGGACGCGAUGGGCAGACUAGGGAUAGGGAGGAAUCGAACCGCCAACUUUACAGUUAUUGGACGACCGCUCUACCUCCUGAGCUACUGCCCCCCUGGAUUACCGUAACAUUAAAUGCCAUAAUUAACUUGACAUUAGUACAACUAAAUGUUUGAAGCAAAUCCUCAACCUUUAAAGAACAAACUUUAAGGAUAAUUAUAUUUUAUCUGAUGAUUAACAAUUGAUUUUUGACAGACUUAUAAGCUUUUAUGUGAUUGGGCUAUAUGGUAUUAUGCUGUGUUAAAUAACGGUUUCCUUUUAAAAAUUCCCUGUUGACAAAACAGUUGACAAAAUAGCUGC